RNAcentral lists this unclassified non-coding RNA (276 nucleotides) under uncultured Microascales. Its description in RNAcentral is "sequence contains 5.8S rRNA gene, ITS2, 28S rRNA gene". The record is from RNAcentral. Lineage: Eukaryota; Fungi; Ascomycota; Sordariomycetes; Microascales.
AACGCACAUUGCGCCCGCCAGCAUUCUGGCGGGCAUGCCUGUUCGAGCGUCAUUUCAACCCCUCAGGCCCUAGCGCCUGGCGUCGGAGGCUCUUUCCCCCUCACCGGGGGAACCUCUCAGAAACAGUGGCGGACCCGCCGCGGCUCCGAGCGCAGUAGUUAAAAAGCGUGUCGCUCUGGAGAUCACCGCGGGGAGCCUAGCCGUUAAACCGGGCCAGUGACCUGGCCCACGCCCAAGGUUGACCUCGGAUCAGGUAGGAAUACCCGCUGAACUUAA